Molecule: unclassified non-coding RNA, 472 nt
Filed under: uncultured fungus
Lineage: Eukaryota; Fungi
Description: sequence contains 18S rRNA gene, ITS1, 5.8S rRNA gene, ITS2, 28S rRNA gene
Source: RNAcentral
AACCGAUGGUUUGGGCGCUUUUGGACGCGCUCGACCAUGAGGGGGUGCGCAUCCAAAGUUACCUGCCUCGCGCAUGUUUCGCACCCGUCGAUGCUGCCACGUCGAUCACCGGCCAGAGCCCCCGCCAUCUCGAUAGCUGGUUAAUGUCGCCCGAGCAAUGCCGGGCGUUAUUUUUGCGCUCCGCACGGCAUAGCGAUCUGGCAGUUUUCGAGGGGCGAUUCGACGAAGACGCGGGCGGUCCGGGGGGCAAACUCGAGCCGCUUUGCCAAUGGCUAGGUGUCCCGCGGCUGGCAGUUGUCGAUGUGUCGCGCCUGGCCGAUUGCAAUUUGCCCCCUCGGCCCGAGCGCGCGGCUGGGCUGCUGCUCGAUCAAGUUACCGAUGAACGCCACUUAUUCCGCUGGCAAACCGUGCUCGAACCGCUGUGGGGCAUUCCGGUUUUGGGUGGCCUCGGGUCGCUUUCGCAGAUUCGGGA